RNAcentral lists this ribosomal RNA (253 nucleotides) under uncultured bacterium. RNAcentral describes it as "partial 16S ribosomal RNA". It matches the Rfam family "Bacterial small subunit ribosomal RNA", at positions 524 to 776 of the family's 1533-position model. The record is from RNAcentral.
UACGUAGGGCGCAAGCGUUGUCCGGAAUUAUUGGGCGUAAAGAGCUCGUAGGCGGCCUGUUACGUCUGCUGUGAAAUCCCGGGGCUUAACCCCGGGCGUGCAGUGGGUACGGGCAGGCUGGAGGCAGGCAGGGGAGAACGGAAUUCCCGGUGUAGCGGUAAAAUGCGCAGAUAUCGGGAGGAACACCGGUGGCGAAGGCGGUUCUCUGGGCCUGUACUGACGCUGAGGAGCGAAAGCGUGGGGAGCGAACAGG